UGGGGAAUAUUGCACAAUGGGCGCAAGCCUGAUGCAGCCAUGCCGCGUGUAUGAAGAAGGCCUUCGGGUUGUAAAGUACUUUCAGCGAGGAGGAAGGCGUUGUGGUUAAUAACCGCAGCGAUUGACGUUACUCGCAGAAGAAGCACCGGCUAACUCCGUGCCAGCAGCCGCGGUAAUACGGAGGGGGCAAGCGUUAAUCGGAAUUACUGGGCGUAAAGCGCACGCAGGCGGUCUGUCAAGUCGGAUGUGAAAGCCCCGGGCUCAACCUGGGAACUGCAUCCGAAACUGGCAGGCUAGAGUCUUGUAGAGGGGGGUAGAAUUCCAGGUGUAGCGGUGAAAUGCGUAGAGAUCUGGAGGAAUACCGGUGGCGAAGGCGGCCCCCUGGACAAAGACUGACGCUCAGGUGCGAAAGCGUGGGGAGCAAACA
Molecule: ribosomal RNA, 427 nt
Filed under: uncultured bacterium
Lineage: Bacteria
Description: partial 16S ribosomal RNA
Rfam family: Bacterial small subunit ribosomal RNA
Source: RNAcentral